GACUCUAUAUCCUCAGUUGGUUAGAGCGCUACACCGGAAUUACAGGGCCGCAGCUUCGAUUCCUGCCAGAGCA
This 73-nucleotide transfer RNA is filed under the name Paramuricea clavata. RNAcentral's name for it is "tRNA-Ser". Lineage: Eukaryota; Metazoa; Cnidaria; Anthozoa; Malacalcyonacea; Plexauridae. The record is from RNAcentral.